UGGAAGAAACCCAGAAGGUGCUUGGACGC
RNAcentral lists this non-coding RNA (29 nucleotides) under Mus musculus (house mouse). The record is from RNAcentral. Lineage: Eukaryota; Metazoa; Chordata; Mammalia; Rodentia; Muridae.